CCCCGUUGCAUGUGCGGGUUAUCACAUGCACCUCCCUGUUGGACUGGCCCGGGCUCUGCCCGGGCCUUUUUU
RNAcentral lists this non-coding RNA (72 nucleotides) under Puniceibacterium sp. IMCC21224. RNAcentral's name for it is "Singlet oxygen resistance RNA X". It matches the Rfam family "Singlet oxygen resistance RNA X". From Rfam's summary of the family: SorX (RSs2461)like SorY is a singlet oxygen induced sRNA that counteracts oxidative stress by targeting mRNA for a transporter in Rhodobacter. It also has an impact on resistance against organic hydroperoxides. Lineage: Bacteria; Pseudomonadati; Pseudomonadota; Alphaproteobacteria; Rhodobacterales; Paracoccaceae. The record is from Rfam by way of RNAcentral.